Eublepharis macularius is the source of this 524-nucleotide long non-coding RNA. RefSeq lists it as uncharacterized. NCBI's taxonomy places the organism in Eukaryota, Metazoa, Chordata, Lepidosauria, Squamata, Eublepharidae. The transcript is spliced from 2 exons. The record is from RefSeq and is a predicted model, not a curated record.
GUCAGUUCUUCAGCUCCUCCCUGUUUUCCUUCCCUGGGUCAGGGUUCCCAUGGAGCUUUCUGUUUUGUGUGGCAGGAGUCAGCCCCAGCGGUGAUUUCAUUGCUGUUUUCUGCAGAGAGACAGAAGCCGAUCAUCAGCAGUCGAUGUCCUUCCUGUGCCAGGUCUGCUACAACAUGGCCUUCAUCUUUGCGUACAGCAUGUGACAGGAAAAUAAGGAUUGAAGAACAGCUCUGGCUACUGCAAUAUCUUGAUUUGCAUUGAUAUCCAUAGCAUAAUGCUUCACGAAUGUGUCAGCAGAAGACCACGUUGCUGCUUUGCAAAUGUUAACAAUUGGAACACCCCUGAGCAAGGCAGAUGACGCUUCCUGAGACCUUGUAGAACGAGCCUUAAGAAGCAAUGGACAUUUUAUUCCAGCCAUUGCAUACACCUUAACAAUGGCCGAAACAAUCCAUUGGGACACUGUCUGCAGAGAUGCUUUUUUGCCCUUGUCUUUGUCCCCAAAACAAAUAAACUGAUGCAGACUA